GAUGAACGCUGGCGGCGCGCCUAACACAUGCAAGUCGAACGAUUAAAGCACCUUCGGGUGUGUAUAAAGUGGCGAACGGCUGAGUAACACGUGGGCAACCUGCCCCUUUCAUUGGGAUAGCCACGGAAACCGGUGGAAAUAACCGAAAAUUUGAAGACUUCCGCUGGGAGAACUCAGAAAACCUCCGGCGGAGGGGGAUGGGCCCGCGGCCUGUUAGCUUGUUGGUGGGGUAACGGCCUACCAAGGCAAUGAUGGGUAGCUGGGUUGAGAGGCCGACCAGCCAGAUUGGGACUGAGACACGGCCCAGACUCCUACGGGAGGCAGCAGUGGGGAAUCUUGCACAAUGGGCGGAAGCCUGAUGCAGCGACGCCGCGUGCGGGAUGAAGGCCUUCGGGUUGUAAACCGCUUUCAGCAGGGACGAGGCGAAAGUGACGGUACCUGCAGAAGAAGCCCCGGCUAACUACGUG
Molecule: ribosomal RNA, 467 nt
Filed under: uncultured bacterium
Lineage: Bacteria
Description: partial 16S ribosomal RNA
Rfam family: Bacterial small subunit ribosomal RNA
Source: RNAcentral